Non-coding RNA from Mus caroli (Ryukyu mouse), 2815 nucleotides. NCBI's taxonomy places the organism in Eukaryota, Metazoa, Chordata, Mammalia, Rodentia, Muridae. The record is from RefSeq and is a predicted model, not a curated record.
AACGGCUCGGCGCGGGCGCUCCGGAAGUGACGUCCUCAAAGCGUCGAGGCGCUAGCCAUGGCUCACGCGGCCGCAGAGCGGCCGCCAGAGGAAACCCUGUCGCUGUGGAAAGGGGAACAAGCCCGGCUGAAAGCGCGCGUGGUGGAUCGGGACACGGAGGCCUGGCAGCGGGACCCCAGCUUCUCUGGCCUGCAGAAGGUCGGGGGCGUGGACGUGUCCUUCGUGAAAGGGGACAGUGUCCGGGCCUGCGCUUCCCUGGUAGUGCUGAGCUACCCCGAGCUCAAGGUGGUGUAUGAGGACAGCCGCAUGGUUGGCCUGAAGGCCCCCUAUGUGUCAGGCUUCCUGGCCUUCCGAGAGGUCCCUUUCCUGGUGGAGUUGGUACAGCGGCUGCAAGAGAAGGAACCAGAUCUCAUGCCCCAGGUCAUUCUUGUGGAUGGAAACGGGGUCCUUCACCAACGAGGCUUCGGGGUGGCCUGCCACCUUGGUGUCCUUACAGAGCUGCCCUGCAUCGGGGUGGCCAAGAAGCUCCUGCAGGUGGAUGGACUGGAGAACAAUGCCCUGCACAAGGAGAAGAUUGUGCUCCUGCAGGCCGGAGGAGACACAUUUCCUCUGAUAGGCAGCUCUGGGACUGUCCUGGGAAUGGCCCUGAGGAGCCAUGACCACAGCACCAAGCCCCUCUAUGUCUCUGUGGGCCACAGAAUAAGCCUGGAGGUCGCUGUGCGCCUCACCCACCACUGCUGUAGGUUCCGGAUCCCAGAACCUAUACGCCAGGCUGACAUCCGCUCUCGAGAGUACAUUCGGAGGACUCUAGGGCAGCUUGGGGUGGCUCCUGCACAGAGAAAGGACAGGAGCCAGAAGGAGCAGAGGCCAAAUGCAUGCCCCCAGGGAGGCCCAGGGGCACCUGCAGAUCAAGGCAGGCCUCCUGAAUGCCACGGGAGAGACUCCAGCUCAGACCCGAAAGCCCCCAAGCCAGGCUUCCAGAAGCAGAAGGACCAGCAGUUGGAGGGAACCGGACAUCAGGAAGAUUCGGAUCUCUGGCCUCCUUCUCCAGCCUGGGUACAGUCACCACCCUGAGAAGAUGAUCUCUAGGAGCGGUGGGGACCUCACCACGCCCCAGAGGCAACAGUGCGUGGAACUCCAGGAGGAUGCAGCAGGCUUAGUCCAGUGUGGGCCAGCGGCUGCCAGCCUCCUCCAUCACUGGCUAGUCAGUGUGUUCACCAUGCCCCAGCAGGACCACAUUCCAGACCAGGAAGCACACAUAAGCACCAAGAGUACAUGAAGGACUUCAGGCCUCGGGUGCCCAGAGGCCCUGCGGUUGGCAGCCUGUGCCAGCAGCUCUGCCUUUCCCUCUUGGGAAUACAGACCUGGCUCUUCCUGGCUUUACCCUCAUGGGUCACUCUUACUUCACCAUCCCAGCCACAGGAGACUGUCACCCGUGUCAUAGCCAGACUGCAGCCCCCAUGGUGCCUGUCCUCAAGCUUGUCUGCUGCUGAGCUUGAGGGACCUGCAGUGGGAAAGCCUCAAUCCUGGAGCGGGCUCAAGAGUGGGCGUUGGGGAGUCAGCUGCACAGAGGGUGCCAGAUGGGAAGCCGGUUGAGGCCCAUGGUGAGAAAGCCCCAGGCUCGGCUCCUCACUCCUCUUCCUGCCACCCUCUCACCAGAGAGCGUCAAAAUCCCAUCCCACUAAGAAGGCGGGACCCCAGUCAUCCCCAUUUCCUGCUCAUGGGACAACAAGAUUGGUGGACUGCCAGGGCUGGAGCCGCCUACUAUGAUCUAGCCAUGGCCAACCCCGAGGAGAGAGGCCCAAGCCAUCGUGGUUCCUACAUCCCAGGCAGGUCAGGCUGGGGAACCUUGACCCUUCCUCAACACCUCAAGAGAGCCACUUGCUGUCUCCUGGCUUCUGGGGAGCACACAUGCUCCUUAGAUCCCAAUGGGAAUAUACUGUCCUGCCUCCUCAGAAGAGUCCAUGAAGAGCUAGGUCUUAGGCUGAGACCUAGGGAUUGCAUCUGUACAGGGCUCCAGCCCCAGGUCUCUGUUCUUGAAUGCUAAGUGUACCUGGCCAAGUCACUCUGCCUCUGGGUAACUCUUUCCUUGAUAGUGAGAUGGUGGGUAUAGUGUCUCCAGAGUCAGCAGGAUAUCAGCCUGGAACACCUUCCCCUUCUGAGAGUGCUAGAGUGAACACCGCCCCCCUCCAACCCACUUGUCUGGUAUCGAAGGUGAGAAGCAAGCAUCAGCGUAGUAAGGUAGAGGCUUACCCACCUGGCCCACUCACCCCAGCAGCAGCCCAAUCCCGCAUCCCUGCUGCACCGCCCUGACCAAUUUAUUAAUUAAAAGCAGAGGCACAGAACAGCGGCACGGCACCACUGACUUGCAGAUGAAUGGCCCAAGAAGUAGUUAGGUGGGUGUCGCCGUGGUGAUGGAGUAGGACUCUGGUUCCCAUUCCCCACACAGAGCAGGCGCCUGCUGCACCAGGUCCUUAAAGGCUCCUGGGAAAUGGGAAGAUGAAGUGCAGGAGCCGGGACUCCAGGCAGAGGCACCUGGAUCAGGUCUUGAUGGAGAGAGUGUAGUUUGGGCUGGAGUUUUGUCUUGUCUUGUUUUGUUUUGAACAUGGUCUUAUCACAGCGGAACUGGAUGACCUUGAGCCUCUGGUCUUCCUUCUCCCAGCUCCUAGCAGUGGGGCUACAUUGCAGGUCUAUGCCACCACAUUGGUGCUGGAGAUCAAAGCCAAGGCUCUGUGCUUGCUGAACAAACUACCAACUGGGCUGGAGAGAUGGCUCAAUGGUUAAGAGCACUGACUGCUCUUCCAGAGGUCCCGAG